CUUCAUAUGUAGUCAAUAUAAAUUGUAUGUCCAUUUAAUUUUGAAAAAUAGACAAAAUUGGUUACAAAGCCUAUAAAAAUAUAAUUUUGGCCCUUUACGACCAAAUUACGUUUUCGGCUUGCAUAUCCUUCAAAUUACUGCACGACCAUUUCCAAAAAAAUGCAUAUACUAGUUAUAACUCCGGCUGGGAAGACGGUAAAAGUCGAUAUUGGCGAUGAACCUGAUCACAAGGAUGUGAAUCACGACAGAAUAAUACCGCUGAGCGAUACAAAAUUAAUGGAUAAGUUCCCAACAAGCUCGGAACAGCCACCGAUACAGAUAGAGAAGCAACCAAAAUAUUCAGGCCAACCAUCCGUGCAUUUCUCAAGCAAUUCAUAGCACGUCGAUGUCGUUAAAAAGAUGUUUUCGUUGUGCGGUAGCUGCUUGAGGGAAAACCUGGGGCACACCUGCCUGUAUAUUGGUUGUGCCAAGUUAAAUAAUUAAUAUAUGCUGAAUACACAACUCUUUUGUCGACAGUUUAGUUUCGACUUAAUAUAUCGGCAGCUUGAAAGCGGAAUACAAAGCAGUAUUUGGUGCAACUGAGUAACAGGCAACAAAUGUGCAAAGUUAGCAACAACAACCUACAAAUAAUUUAAUAAUAAUAAUGUAAUUUCAAUGUAUUUCCUUAGCUCCAUUGAGCAUUAAGGUACAUUUCUAUAAAAUAUACAAACCUAACAAAACGAUUAUUUACGAAUGUACUAAUGAAACGUUUCAAUAUAUGCCUAUAAGUAAAUACUA
Molecule: long non-coding RNA, 777 nt
Organism: Drosophila virilis
Lineage: Eukaryota; Metazoa; Arthropoda; Insecta; Diptera; Drosophilidae
Source: RefSeq, a predicted model, not a curated record